This 752-nucleotide ribosomal RNA is filed under the name uncultured Bacteroidales bacterium. Its description in RNAcentral is "bacterial SSU rRNA". It matches the Rfam family "Bacterial small subunit ribosomal RNA", at positions 28 to 769 of the family's 1533-position model. The record is from RNAcentral. Lineage: Bacteria; Pseudomonadati; Bacteroidota; Bacteroidia; Bacteroidales.
GAUGAACGCUAGCUACAGGCUUAACACAUGCAAGUCGAGGGGCAGCAUGGUCUUAGCUUGCUAAGGCCGAUGGCGACCGGCGCACGGGUGAGUAACACGUAUCCAACCUGCCGUCUACUCUUGGACAGCCUUCUGAAAGGAAGAUUAAUACAAGAUGGCAUCAUGAGUCCGCAUGUUCACAUGAUUAAAGGUAUUCCGGUAGACGAUGGGGAUGCGUUCCAUUAGAUAGUAGGCGGGGUAACGGCCCACCUAGUCUUCGAUGGAUAGGGGUUCUGAGAGGAAGGUCCCCCACAUUGGAACUGAGACACGGUCCAAACUCCUACGGGAGGCAGCAGUGAGGAAUAUUGGUCAAUGGGCGAGAGCCUGAACCAGCCAAGUAGCGUGAAGGAUGACUGCCCUAUGGGUUGUAAACUUCUUUUAUAAAGGAAUAAAGUCGGGUAUGGAUACCCGUUUGCAUGUACUUUAUGAAUAAGGAUCGGCUAACUCCGUGCCAGCAGCCGCGGUAAUACGGAGGAUCCGAGCGUUAUCCGGAUUUAUUGGGUUUAAAGGGAGUGUAGAUGGAUAUUUAAGUCAGUUGUGAAAGUUUGCGGCUCAACCGUAAAAUUGCAGUUGAUACUGGAUAUCUUGAGUGCAGUUGAGGCAGGCGGAAUUCGUGGUGUAGCGGUGAAAUGCUUAGAUAUCACGAAGAACUCCGAUUGCGAAGGCAGCCUGCUAAGCUGCAACUGACAUUGAGGCUCGAAAGUGUGGGUAUC